This is a non-coding RNA of Podarcis lilfordi (Lilford's wall lizard), 70 nucleotides long. The record is from the annotation of a GenBank genome assembly. NCBI's taxonomy places the organism in Eukaryota, Metazoa, Chordata, Lepidosauria, Squamata, Lacertidae.
GGCCAUAGCUCACUGGUAGAGCAUCUGCUUUGCAUGCAGAAGGUCCCCGCUUCAAUCCCUGGCAUCUCUA